Molecule: long non-coding RNA, 1518 nt
Organism: Tympanuchus pallidicinctus (lesser prairie-chicken)
Lineage: Eukaryota; Metazoa; Chordata; Aves; Galliformes; Phasianidae
Exons: 3
Source: RefSeq, a predicted model, not a curated record
UGACUUUUCUAAGGUGCUUCCAAGGUACUGAAGCUGCCUGCAGUACCAAGAAUUCACCAGGCAGAUCCAGAAUGGAGGUAGGGCAUAGUAGGCUCCUCAUACUGUCAUGAAAAAGUUGCGAGAAGGCUACCAGUAUAUAUGAAGCAAUAAAAUCAGAUGGAGUAGAGUACUUUUGCUGUUUGAUGUCUGUAUCCUUUCUCACUUCCAAUGUACAGGUUAGCUCUCAAGCCAGUGUAAUAUCUUAAUAGCAGCAAUACUUAGAACUGCUGUAAUCAGACCUCCCUUUGUGUUCACUGCCCAAAACCUGACCAGCUGCAAGAGGAAAUCCUCAUACCAGCUGUUGCUCAGGGGUGAAAUUAUCUGGAUUUAAGCUUGGAUGUAAUUUUUUAAAUCAAGGAACCAGAUUUUAAUGUAUGUCAUAUUCUGAAUGAAAAUAAGUUUUGAUAGAGUUCGCAUAAUCUUUUAAAUAUCAGUCUGGGAAGUGACAAAUUGUGGACAAAACCCAUACAGCUUGCUUUAAAGCAAAGUAAAAUACUAUAUAACCAACUGACAGAGCUUAAUAAUUGUUUUGUUUUCUGUCUGUUGAAAAGCUUCUCUUUACAAAUUUAGGUAAAAAAAGUAAUGCUGUAGUUCUUUCUGGGGUUUUAAACCUUUGUUUUCAUGUAGUAUACCUUUUACUAAUCAAUAAAUAGACCAGAUUAGCCCAGUUUUGAGAAAACCAUCUGGCCACUGUUUAUCUCUGAUCACAUGCUCCAGAAAGGAAAAGUGCAGGUAACAAGUUGCAUCAAACCAGCUGGAAUAAGUAUGAUUGAUGUAGACAGUAUAAUACCCAGAGUCUUGGUUUAAAACAGGAAGGACUGUGGCAUUUUGCACUACAUAAGACAGCUGGGCAUUCUCAAAGAAGCAUGGUAAGAGACCUGGUGGUCAGAAACAGUGUGAAAGUCUCUGUUUCUGUUUCCCCAGAGACAAGUACUUUGAAUGGAACCUAUGAAUAUUUCUGUGACGUCUAAUCAACAGCUAGACUGGUAAAGUACAGAUGUACAGUACAGAAAGUUCCAUAUGAACUUUGAAACUCACAUUGUUCUAAAUGGCACGAGAAUUUCACCAGAAAUGAAGAGCGAGCAGUCAUUGCAAAGGUAUUUAGACACUGUGCGGAGAAACAGAAGGCAAGAGGCCAUCUUACUCCCAUUAGAAGAUAAGCAACUGCGAGUUUGAAGAUUUGGUUGUGUCUUGGCCAAUACCGAGAAAAAAAGUGCAAUAAAAGGACUCUGUUUAAAUCUGCAGAAACUGAGAUCCAGCCCGAAGCAAGGCAGCAUGAAAAUAAGAAGCUGUGGAUCAAGCAGCUCACUGAGUGAGCUGGCCUCCUCAGCUGGACUGCCUGUUAGUCUUCGCUGAACGAAAACUGCUCACCUCACUGUGAAAGACGCAGCACAAAAGCUUGACGUAGACUUGAUUCCCUCAGUGUGACCUCUUGUAUUACCCGAGCAGAUGGAUGUCUCAUUUCUGGAUUCUGAUCAU